RNAcentral lists this small RNA (659 nucleotides) under Arabidopsis thaliana (thale cress). RNAcentral's name for it is "ATSL065040". The record is from RNAcentral. Lineage: Eukaryota; Viridiplantae; Streptophyta; Magnoliopsida; Brassicales; Brassicaceae.
UUUCAAAUCAUAUGAACUGGGUGUCUCAGGAUAAUGUGGAUAAAGAUCCCUUAGAGAUAUUACUCUUAACGAAAAAGAGGCACAAUUGUGGCAAGUAGGCCAUAUUGAGUUUAGUUUGGAAACUAGUUGUUUUUUAAAUUCGGAAACUCGAACUCGAGUGAGAGAUAUUUCACAAAAUGAUUCUUAUUUAGGAUAUCACCCUUUUUUGGACGGGUCUUGGAAAGAUAGUGAUAAAUUCUCAGGAAUAUGGUGGUUCAAUACGUCAUCAGAUGGAGUUACACCAACCAUGAGAGCUGCCAACACCCUUACACGCAUAUCUCCACUACAUUCGGAAGUGGAAGCUCUUCUCUAGGCGAUGAAGUGUAUGAUUGGUGUUAACAACUAAAAAGUAAUGUUUUUUCGAAACUAUUCAAAUCUAGUGAAUAUGGUGUGUUUUCUAACCGAAUGGCCGACACUUUCAUUGUAUUUGGAAGAACUUCAGAAUGAUAAGGAAGAAUUUUCAAUUUUUUUGUUAUCUUUAAUGUUUCGUUGUGCUAAUAUAAAAACGGAUGAUUUCACUCAAAAAAUUCGUACCGAACUGCAUUAGAUCCCAAAUGUAAAUAAUUCCUCAGUAGAAAACCAAUAUGUCUCAAUUUUUAUCCUUUUUACAAUAUUUGAGA